UACGUAGGGUCCGAGCGUUGUCCGGAAUUAUUGGGCGUAAAGGGCUCGUAGGCGGUUCGUCACGUCGGGAGUGAAAACUCGGAGCUUAACUCCGAGCCUGCUUCCGAUACGGGCAGACUAGAGGUAGGCAGGGGAGAGCGGAACUCCUGGUGUAGUGGUGAAAUUCGUAGAUAUCGGGAGGAACACCAGUGGCGAAGGCGGGUCUCUGGGCCGUAACUGACGCUGAGGAGCGAAAGCGUGGGGAGCGAACAGG
This 253-nucleotide ribosomal RNA is filed under the name uncultured bacterium. RNAcentral's name for it is "partial 16S ribosomal RNA". It matches the Rfam family "Bacterial small subunit ribosomal RNA", at positions 524 to 776 of the family's 1533-position model. The record is from RNAcentral.